AUUCGAUCAUAGCUCAAGAUUGAACGCUGGCGGGGAUGCUUUACAUGCAAGUCGAACGGCGGCACCUGGACUUCAGUCUGGUGGCGAGUGGCAGACAGGUGACUAGUAUAUCGGAACGUGCUGGCGUGGCGAGGGGAUAACUACGCGAAAAGCGUAGCUAAUACCACGCCGCCCUUCGGGGAAAGCUGGGGGACCUUCGCGGGCCUCGCACUAUUAGAGCGGCCGAUAUCGGAUUAGCUAGUUGGUGGGGUAACGGCUCGCAAGGCGACGAUCCGUAGCUGGUUCAGAGGACAUUGACCACACUGGGACUGAGACACGGCCCAGACUCCUGCAGGAGGCAGCAGUGGGGGAAUUUUGGACAAUGGGGGAGACCCUGAUCCAGCCAUCCCGCGUGUGCGAUGAAACGCUGGUUGCUUAAAGCACUUUUGGCAGGAAAGAAACGGCCUGGGAUAAUACCCCGUGCAACUGACGGUACCUGCAGAAUAGCACCGGCUAACUUACGUGCCAGCAGCCGCGGUAAUACGUAAAGGGUGCAAGCGUUAAUCGGAAUUACUGGGCGUAAAGCGUGCGCAGGCGGUUCGGAAAGAAAAGAUGUGAAAUCCCAGGCUUAACUUUGGAACUGCAUUUUUAACUACCGAGCUAGAGUGUCAGAGGGAGGUGGAAUUCCGCGAUGGCAGUGAAAUGCGUAGAUAUGCUGGGAGGAGACACCGAUGUGAAAGGCAGCCUCCUGGGAUAACACUGACGCUCAUGCACGAAAGCGUGGGGGAGCAAACAGGAUUAGAUACCCUGUUAGUCCGCCUAAACGAUGUCAACUAGCUGUUGGGGCCUUCCGGGCCAUGAUGGCGCAAUAACGCGUGAAGUUGACCGCCUGGGAGUACGGUCGCAAGAUUAAAACUCAAAGGAAUUGACGGGGACCCGCACAAGCGGUGGAUGAUGUGGAUUAAUUCGAUGCAACGCGAAAAACCUUACUACCUUGACAUGUCUGGAAUCCCGAAGAGAUUUGGGGUGCUCGCAAGAGAACCGGAACACAGGUGCUGCAUGGCUGUCGUCGGCUCGUCUCCGUGAGAUGUUGGGUUAAGUCCCGCAACGAGCGCAACCCUUGUCAUUAGUUGCUACGAAAGGGCACUCUAAUGAGACUGCCGGUGACAAACCGGAGGAAGGUGGGGAUGACGUCAAGUCCUCAUGGCCCUUAUCAGGUAGGGCUCCACACGUCAUACAAUGGUCAGGACAGAGGUCGCCAACCCGCGAGGGGGAGCCAAUCCCAGAAACCCGAUCGUAGUCCGGAUCGCAGUCUGCAACUCGACUGCGUGAAGUCAGAAUCGCUAGUAAUCAUGUGGAUCAGCAUGUCGCGGUGAAUACGUUCCCGAGGUCGCCCAUACACCGCCCGUCACACCAUGGGAGUGGGUUUUACCGAAGUAGUUAAUACCUAACCGUAAGGAGGGCGAUUACCACAGGCGGAUUCGCGGUGAAGUCGUAACAAAGGUAA
Molecule: ribosomal RNA, 1486 nt
Filed under: uncultured Bordetella sp.
Lineage: Bacteria; Pseudomonadati; Pseudomonadota; Betaproteobacteria; Burkholderiales; Alcaligenaceae
Description: partial 16S-23S ribosomal RNA intergenic spacer
Rfam family: Bacterial small subunit ribosomal RNA
Source: RNAcentral